GAAGUAGCAAUACUUAGUGGCAGACGGGUGAGUAACAUGUGCGUAUCUGCCCUUUGGCCUGGAAUAACACGAGGAAACUUGUGCUAAUACCGGAUAAGUCUUUACGGAGAAAGCUUUAUGCACCAUUGGAUGAGCCCGCACUUGAUUAGUUAGUUGGUAGGGUAAUGGCCUACCAAGACUGUGAUCAAUAGCUGAUUUGAGAGGAUGAUCAGCCACAUUGGGACUGAGACACGGCCCAAACUCCUACGGGAGGCAGCAGUGGGGAAUCUUGCACAAUGGAGGAAACUCUGAUGCAGCGAUGCCGCGUGAGUGAAGAAGGCCUUUGGGUUGUAAAGCUCUUUCGUCGGGGAAGAAAAUGACUGUACCCGAAUAAGAAGGUCCGGCUAACUUCGUGCCAGCAGCCGCGGUAAUACGAAGGGACCUAGCGUAGUUCGGAAUUACUGGGCUUAAAGAGUUCGUAGGUGGUUGAAAAAGUUGGUGGUGAAAUCCCAGAGCUUAACUCUGGAACUGCCAUCAAAACUUUUCAGCUAGAGUAUGAUAGAGGAAAGCAGAAUUUCUAGUGUAGAGGUGAAAUUCGUAGAUAUUAGAAAGAAUACCGAUUGCGAAGGCAGCUUUCUGGAUCAUUACUGACACUGAGGAACGAAAGCAUGGGUAGCGAAGAGGAUUAGAUACCCUCGUAGUCCAUGCCGUAAACGAUGUGUGUUAGACGUUGGAAAUUUAUUUUCAGUGUCGCAGCGAAAGCGAUAAACACACCGCCUGGGGAGUACGACCGCAAGGUUAAAACUCAAAUGAAUUGACGGGGACCCGCACAAGUAGUGGAGCA
This 823-nucleotide ribosomal RNA is filed under the name uncultured Alphaproteobacteria bacterium. Its description in RNAcentral is "bacterial SSU rRNA". It matches the Rfam family "Bacterial small subunit ribosomal RNA", at positions 72 to 939 of the family's 1533-position model. The record is from RNAcentral. Lineage: Bacteria; Pseudomonadati; Pseudomonadota; Alphaproteobacteria.